Molecule: ribosomal RNA, 590 nt
Filed under: uncultured bacterium
Lineage: Bacteria
Description: bacterial SSU rRNA
Rfam family: Bacterial small subunit ribosomal RNA
Source: RNAcentral
AGAGUUUGAUCCUGGCUCAGAAUCAACGCUGGCGGCGUGCCUCAGACAUGCAAGUCGAACGAUUAAACUUUCCUUCGGGAAAGAUAUAAAGUGGCGCACGGGUGAGUAACACGUAGGUAAUCUACCUUUGAGUGGGGAAUAACGUUCGGAAACGAACGCUAAUACCGCAUAAUGCAGCGGCACCUAAUGGUGACAGUUGUUAAAGGAGCAAUCCGCUUAAAGAGGAGCCUGCGGCAGAUUAGCUAGUUGGUAAGGUAACGGCUUACCAAGGCUACGAUCUGUAUCCGACCUGAGAGGGUGGUCGGACACACUGACACUGAAUAACGGGUCAGACUCCUACGGGAGGCAGCAGUCGGGAAUUUUGGGCAAUGGGCGAAAGCCUGACCCAGCAACGCCGCGUGAAGGAUGAAGUCUUUCGGGAUGUAAACUUCGUAAGAAUAGGAAGAAUAAAUGACGGUACUAUUUGUAAGGUCCGGCUAACUACGUGCCAGCAGCCGCGGUAAUACGUAGGGACCAAGCGUUGUUCGGAUUUACUGGGCGUAAAGGGCGCGUAGGCGGCGUGUUAAGUCAGCUGUGAAAUCUCCAAGCUU